CCAGCGAGAGAGCGUUGCCGCAGGCAACGACCCGAAGGGCGAAGCGCGCAGCGUUGAGUAAUCCUUCCCCCACCACCA
This 78-nucleotide small RNA is filed under the name Escherichia coli. Its description in RNAcentral is "partial RtT sRNA". It matches the Rfam family "RtT RNA", at positions 54 to 130 of the family's 130-position model. Rfam says of the family: This family represents a bacterial cis-regulatory element known as RtT RNA. The exact function of RtT is unknown although it is thought that it may be involved in changing the cellular response in relation to amino acid starvation. Lineage: Bacteria; Pseudomonadati; Pseudomonadota; Gammaproteobacteria; Enterobacterales; Enterobacteriaceae. The record is from RNAcentral.